Molecule: small nuclear RNA, 329 nt
Filed under: Neotoma lepida (desert woodrat)
Lineage: Eukaryota; Metazoa; Chordata; Mammalia; Rodentia; Cricetidae
Description: 7SK RNA
Rfam family: 7SK RNA
About the family: 7SK was discovered as an abundant small nuclear RNA in the mid-70s but a possible function has only recently been suggested. Two independent studies have found that 7SK RNA binds the CDK9/cyclin T complex (known as elongation factor P-TEFb). P-TEFb activates transcription by phosphorylating the C-terminal domain of RNA polymerase II.
Source: Rfam by way of RNAcentral
GGAUAUGAGGGGGAUCUGGCUGUAACCUCUNUUAGCCAUUGAUGUGAAGAGGUUUUGAUUGAGUUGAUCUGGCUGACCUCACAGGGUCUGCUUCCUCUCUCUUUCUCCUUUGCAUCCCUGUGGAAUCUGUGUGCUGCUGAGGAGGAAGAUAAUAACUUUUCAAAUAGAGGAGAUGCUUGUUGGGUAAAGGGCANGUGGUAAUUGCAUCACCCUGUUAAAAUCUCCAAAGUUAUCACUAUCCAAGUUUCAUUAUUACUCAAGUGAGUUUGGAGAUUCAAUUUCUCAAAUAAAAUUUGGUGUAAAUGUUGCAUGAAAUCAUGCAUUCUUUU